ACGCUGGCGGCAUGCUUUACACAUGCAAGUCGGACGGCAGCACAGAGAAGCUUGCUUCUUGGGUGGCGAGUGGCGAACGGGUGAGUAAUAUAUCGGAACGUACCGAGUAAUGGGGGAUAACUAAUCGAAAGAUUAGCUAAUACCGCAUAUUCUCUGAGGAGGAAAGCAGGGGACCUUCGGGCCUUGCGUUAUUCGAGCGGCCGAUAUCUGAUUAGCUAGUUGGUGGGGUAAAGGCCUACCAAGGCGACGAUCAGUAGCGGGUCUGAGAGGAUGAUCCGCCACACUGGGACUGAGACACGGCCCAGACUCCUACGGGAGGCAGCAGUGGGGAAUUUUGGACAAUGGGCGCAAGCCUGAUCCAGCCAUGCCGCGUGUCUGAAGAAGGCCUUCGGGUUGUAAAGGACUUUUGUCAGGGAAGAAAAGGCUGUUGCUAAUACCGACAGCUGAUGACGGUACCUGAAGAAUAAGCACCGGCUAACUACGUGCCAGCAGCCGCGGUAAUACGUAGGGUGCGAGCGUUAAUCGGAAUUACUGGGCGUAAAGCGAGCGCAGACGGUUACUUAAGCAGGAUGUGAAAUCCCCGGGCUCAACCUGGGAACUGCGUUCUGAACUGGGUGACUAGAGUGUGUCAGAGGGAGGUAGAAUUCCACGUGUAGCAGUGAAAUGCGUAGAGAUGUGGAGGAAUACCGAUGGCGAAGGCAGCCUCCUGGGAUAACACUGACGUUCAUGCUCGAAAGCGUGGGUAGCAAACAGGAUUAGAUACCCUGGUAGUCCACGCCCUAAACGAUGUCAAUUAGCUGUUGGGCAACUUGAUUGCUUAGUAGCGUAGCUAACGCGUGAAAUUGACCGCCUGGGGAGUACGGUCGCAAGAUUAAAACUCAAAGGAAUUGACGGGGACCCGCACAAGCGG
Molecule: ribosomal RNA, 910 nt
Filed under: uncultured bacterium
Lineage: Bacteria
Description: bacterial SSU rRNA
Rfam family: Bacterial small subunit ribosomal RNA
Source: RNAcentral